CACACCACCCUUGCUGCCUCCCAGGGCCUCCCAGACAGGCCCGUUGGCCGGCUCUGCGGGGAGAGCCGGUGUCUGCACCAGGACCUGCCGGCGUUGGCCGCGGACAUGACGCCUGAGGACCAGGAGGAGACCCAGCCGCUCCUGCGGCCGCCGGGUGGCAGCGGCCGCCGCGUCUUCCUCGCCGCCUUCGCCGCUGCCCUGGGCCCGCUCAGCUUCGGCUUCGCGCUCGGAUACAGCUCCCCGGCCAUCCCGAGCCUGCGCCGCGCCGCGCCCCCGGCCCCACGCCUCAGCGACGACGCUGCCUCCUGGUUCGGGGCCAUCGUGACCCUGGGCGCGGCGGCGGGCGGCGUGCUGGGGGGCUGGCUGGUGGACCGCGCCGGGCGCAAGCUGAGCCUCCUGAUCUGCACGGUGCCCUUCGUGGCCGGCUUUGCCGUCAUCACCGCCGCCCAGGAAGUGUGGAUGCUGCUCGGGGGCCGCCUCCUCACCGGCCUGGCCUGCGGCGUUGCCUCGCUAGUGGCCCCGGUCUACAUCUCUGAGAUUGCCUACCCUGAAGUGCGGGGGCUGCUGGGCUCCUGUGUGCAGCUGAUGGUCGUCACGGGCAUCCUCCUGGCCUAUCUGGCAGGCUGGAUCCUGGAGUGGCGCUGGCUGGCUGUGCUGGGCUGUGUGCCCCCCUCCUUCAUGCUGCUGCUCAUGUGCUGCAUGCCCGAGACCCCGCGCUUCCUGCUGACUCAGCACAGGCGCCAGGAAGCCCUGGCUGCCGUGCGGUUCCUGUGGGGCUCUGAGCAGGGCUGGGAAGAGCCCCCUGUCGGGGCUGAGCACCAGCAGGGCUUACAGCUGGCCCAGCUGAGGCGGCCCGGCAUCUACAAGCCCUUCGCCAUCGGCAUCUCACUCAUGGUCUUCCAGCAGCUGUCGGGGAUCAACGCUGUCAUGUUCUACGCAGAGACUAUCUUUGAGGAGGCCAAGUUCAAGAACAGCAGCCUGGCCUCCGUCAUCGUGGGCGUCAUCCAGGUGCUGUUCACGGCCGGGGCGGCGCUGGUCAUGGACAGAGCCGGGCGGCGGCUGCUCCUGGCCUUGUCAGGUGUGGUCAUGGUGUUCAGCACCAGUGCCUUUGGCACCUACUUCAAGCUGACGCAGGGUAGCCCCAGCAACUCCUCGCACGUCGACCUCCUGGCGCCCGUCUCCGUGGAGCCCGCCAACCCCGGUGUAGGGCUGGCCUGGCUGGCGGUGGGCAGCAUGUGCCUCUUCAUUGCUGGCUUCGCUGUGGGCUGGGGCCCCAUCCCCUGGCUCCUCAUGUCGGAGAUCUUCCCCCUGCACGUCAAGGGCGUGGCCACCGGCGUCUGUGUCCUCACCAACUGGCUCAUGGCCUUUCUGGUGACAAAAGAGUUCAGCAGCCUCAUGCUCCCUCAGCAACUCCUACCCAUACCACCUUCUGAUUGCUACCAGUACCCACUUAUAGGUACCAAGGACGGUGGACACACGUGCUCUUCAGAGGUCCCCUGAGACUGCCUUGGGGCCUUCCCCUCGGGGCACAAGAUGGGAAGAACCAGCCCCAGCUGGCAAUCCAGUAUCAGCCCAGCCCAGCCCAGCCCAGCACUGUCAGACACAGGACCAUAGGGAAGAGGAGCAGGAUAAAGCAUUGCCACAGGACAGGUCCAGCAGAAGCUGUGCUCUACCCAGCCCACAUAAGACAGGUCUCUGUACUGGAUACGGUAGAAAUCUGCACUGCCUACCAAGAGUCACUCCAUCUCCAUCUCCAUCUCAUCCCGCUCCCCAUCCCCUCACCCCAACUCUUCCAGAAGAAUGCUGGCUUCUGGGAACCUAAAACAAGGCUUCUGGGUCCUAACGCCGCCCAGUGGCCACAUGCGGAAUUGCAUCAAUUGAAGCCUGAAGCGCUCUGCUUCCUCCCAGGGGCCAUGGGUAAGAAACCCUCUGCUACCACCUAGUGGCCAGUGUGGGGUUAGCACCUGUUCGGCCUGUGGCUGCAGGCAGCACCGCACCAACUGGAAGGAGUCAAAAAUCAAGGAGUGUCCACAGCCCUGGAAGCUGGAAGAGGCAAGGAAACAGAUUCUCCCCUAGAGCCUCUGGAAGGCAUGUAACCGUGCCAACACCUUGAUUUUACCCCAGUGAUACCCAUCUCCGACUUCUGACCUCCAAAGUCGUAAGCCCCAAAUUUCAGAAGCCGAAAGUGGAAAUGGGCUUAUCUCAAAGGGAUCUGUGAGCGUGACUUGCCUAAUGGAGUUAAUCCAGUAAGAUUCAUACAGGACUCACUAAGUUAAGAGGGUUAUAUUGGCAAAAACGCUACCAGCUGUGACUGAAAGGGGCCGAGACCGUACAACGUAAGAGGCCUUAGGACCCCUACACUCAUUCCCGCUUCCCAGGUAACGCAUUCCCGUCUUAUUGUCAAAAUGCCUCUAAAAUUGAAUUGAGUUAUCGGGAAGUUGCUUGGGUGGUGAAGAAUUUUCAUCAAUGCUCUGAGGAAGUCCAUUGAAAUAUCCCCUGACGCAGCAGAGAAUCCUCCAACGGACAGAAAGUUCAGGAAUCUCCUUUUGCAACAGUGCUGAUCAAACACUAUCAAAGUGUGUUUUUGACCCUGAAAUUACUGAAGCGGUUCCCUCCUGCCGAUUGAUUUUAUACUUUGAGAAUGCCAGGCCACCAACCGGUGGCAGCCCUGUUCACACUGAGAAGCUCAAGAGGAGUGUGAAGGUGUCGAGCUGGGCCUGAGUUGAAGGUCCGGGAAGGAGAAAACCUUCUUCACCUGCUACUCUGGGAACGCGACCAACUGAAAAAUCAGGAGCCAAGAACCAGUGUAGAUCUGUUGUCUGCGCUAAAACUACAACUCCCAUGAUCCUUAGCGCCAAGUCCCUUCCUGUCUCAGAGGCUCCAGGCGUUGGAUUCCGGUGGACCUGAAGAGCUUGUGCGACAUAGCAUGAUGGGAAAUAGAUUCUGGGAGCGAGAACUGGCGGAAGCCUCUCUAGGAAGCACGAUCCAGGAGCGUGCGCGGAUCACAAAGCUGGCACGGAGAGAACAGGCUUUGACUAGGAAGAGAGCACGGAGAUUUCUAGGGAAAAGAAGCGAGAGGCGCUGGAAGGCAAGUGCGCAUGACCGGAAGUGAUGCUGUUUUCGCGCGUCCUCUGGCGCGAGAAGAGGACGUGACGUUUGGCAGGACCCGAAGCCGGUUUCUCAGUUAGAGCGGUACCCGGUUACCUGCCUGCGGUAUUUUCCCGCGGUGUUUUGUUUGAGACUGAGUCGUUGGCUGCGCCUCGGGCUCCCCAGCCGAGGCCUGGCUGUGGCUGGGAGACAGUGAAAGACCCAGCUGGACAGCCCCCGCCCGAGCUCCCGGAGCCCAGCACCGCAGGCUCAGACCCGGCCUCGGGGGAAGGCGGGAGAGAGGAAUCCGCGGGCAGAGCAGGGAAGCGACGCUGGCGCCCGGAGAACUGCUGGGAGGCGGUGUCGCGUGGUGAUACCCGAAUGCUGGAGGAAGAAUCAUGAUCUCCAGACCCUAACCUUUCCCAAGAGGAAAGCACGGGAGAGGAAGGAAUGGGAAUGGUGACUAGUCUCCUCACAGCAGGGCCACAUGGAUCCACGCCCUUCAGCAGUGUGACUGCAGCUUUUCCUCACAAAGAGUGGAGGCACUUGGUCCGAGCUCCAAGGGAAGGAGAUACCAGAGAAGUCCAGGAACCUGGUCCUACUGGCUCACCCGAGGCUCCCCGCAGCCUGCUUCCUCUUCCAGCUGCCCUUCCAAGGUGGUCCUGGCGUGGCUCACACCUACUCCAACAGCAGCUCUGGGCUCUGAAGUGGCUUCACCUCUGGACUCCUCACAGCCUGAUUCCACUCACACGUCUGCCAAGAUGGUCCUAGCACAGCUUGCCCCUGGGACUUGUGGCUUACACCCGCCACAACUAAAGCUCCAGGCCCCAUUGUGACUUUCCCUGGACUCCGCAGCCUGAGCCCCUCCAACUGGCCUGCCAAGGCACGUCAGAGCACCUGUCCUCAGGACGCCUGCAGCUCUUACACAGGCCACUCCAGAAGGUGCUGUUUUGCCUAAUUCAUAGAAACAGCCAAAUGAGACAGAGAAAUAUGUCCCAAAUGAAAGAACAGGACAAAAGCCCAGGAAAAGAAAUGAGAUGGAGACAAGUAAUCUACCAAAUAGAGUUCAAAACACUGGUUAUAAGGAUGUUUAGUGAACCCAGGAGAAUAGAUUAACUCAGCGAGAAUCACAAAGAGGUAAGACAUAUAAAGCAACUAGUUACGUACAAAGGAGCCCCCAUAAAACUAUCAGCUACUUUUCAGAAAUUUUGCAGGCCAAAAAGGAAUGGUACAAUAUAUUCAAAAUAAUGAAAGGGGGGGAAACCUGUAACCAACAAUACUCUACCCAUGUAUCCUUUAGAAUUGAAGGCUAGUUUCCUAGACAAGCAAAAGCUAAACCAGCACCAGAGAUAAAAAGUUAAAGGGAUUUUAGGUGGGAAAGAAAAUUCCUUUAAACUAAAAGAAAAUGUAAGGGUGACCUCAGCAUUAUGGCAGUGUGUGGAAACUCCUUUUUAUCUCCCCUUACAUCGGCAAUCCAAUAAAGCCUGAGAUGUCCAUGCAUCUGAAAGGCAGGGGUAUUGGAAUGCAUAGGGGAGGCAGGAUUAGAUGCAGUUCGGUGGCCCCACAUAACACAGUAGCAAGGGAGGUGUUGGGGUGUGCCCCCACACUAUGACCCUGCAAAAACAAUAUUGGUGGCCAAGAAUCUGGCUCCCUUCCUCUCCCCCCACUUGCAGCAGAGCCAGGUAGCAGCAGUGAUGGUGCCCAUUAGGAACAAGAGGCAGCCCUGUGGGUGUGUGAACCCAGCUCCUGACCACCCACUCCAUGGUGGUUGCGCCCAAGACUGAGGGGACCCAGACACAGUGGGGACUCCUAUAAUAACCCCUGAAGCACACACAGCACAAGAAAAAAAAACCUGAAAACUUAGCACUAUGUCACCUUCUACUGAUAAACAAAACAGAGCCUCUAAUUAUCAACCUAUUGAAUCUUUAAGAUCAAAACAGUAUCUAAACAAGGAAAGAAUCCACUACCUCAAAUGCACAGGCAGAGGAACGAUCCCUUAAGUGCCAUGAACAACCAGGGUAGCAUGUAACUUCCAAGUGUCCAGAAACCAAUCUGAAAGACAUGGAAGACAUAUCGAUUCCUGCCAUGAAGAAACUCAACAUACAAGAAAACUGGGAGGCAGUUCAGGCGAGGUCAGGAUAAAAUCAGUGAGCAAACGGAGUACUUUACCAGAAAGAACCAAACCAAUUCUGCAGCUGAAGGACUGCCACUGAAUGAGAUGAGGAGCACACGAGGCUCCGGCCGAUUCCUAGCCUGUGUCAAGCUUAGUGGAGCUUCUUCCCAUACACAUAAAGAAACAGAAUUUCCGGAGGAUGAGGCCCAGAAAUCAGGAUUUUAAAAAGAUUCCCAGGUGAUUCUAAUGUGCAGCCCAGGUUGAGAACCACUGCCUUACACCAAACGGGUUGCGGACUGGAUCCCGUGGGGCACAUACAGGAGGCAGCUGAAUGUGUCCCCUUUCCUCUCUAAAAAUCAAUGUACAUAUCCCUCAGGUGAGGAUUAUCAAUAAAAUACAUAAAAAGCAUUGGAAAUACAAUAAACCAGAUGGAAGACAGAAUUUGUGAAACUGAAAAAAAUAACGAAAAAUCUAGAAUUGACAAGAUCUUCACAAAACUAGGGAGAGAACUAGACAAUCCAGUACAAGCAGCUAACAGGACAUGAAAUUACCUCUGCAAAAAGACCCCUAAGACGCAUUAAAACUGUCAAAAGCUACUAACAGCCAGGCCACUGGGGCUCGGUUGGUUGUCAUCCCAUGAAGCAGUCACGGUUCAUUUCCGGGUGAGGGGAUGUGCAGGAGGCAGCGGAUGAAUGUUUCUAGCUCUCUCUCCCUCUCUUUCUCUGAAAUCAAUAAAAACAUUU
This is an RNA transcript of Myotis myotis, 5943 nucleotides long. It is a transcript of the gene named solute carrier family 2 member 8, with no coding region annotated. Lineage: Eukaryota; Metazoa; Chordata; Mammalia; Chiroptera; Vespertilionidae. The record is from RefSeq and is a predicted model, not a curated record. The transcript is spliced from 13 exons.